Molecule: transfer RNA, 93 nt
Filed under: Burkholderia pseudomallei
Lineage: Bacteria; Pseudomonadati; Pseudomonadota; Betaproteobacteria; Burkholderiales; Burkholderiaceae
Description: tRNA-Arg (CCG) (tRNA-Arg-CCG-2-1)
Source: RNAcentral
GCGGUUGUUCUGGAUCUUGUUGAAUCGCCGUAGACACUGUUUCCCGCCCUCCGAAGGCAGGGGUUGCUGGUUCGAUCCCAGCCGGGCGCGCCA